GUGGGGAAUAUUGGACAAUGGGCGAAAGCCUGAUCCAGCCAUGCCACGUGUGUGAAGAAGGUCUUCGGAUUGUAAAGCACUUUAAGUUGGGAGGAAGGGCAGUAAGUUAAUACCUUGCUGUUUUGACGUUACCGACAGAAUAAGCACCGGCUAACUUCGUGCCAGCAGCCGCGGUAAUACGAAGGGUGCAAGCGUUAAUCGGAAUUACUGGGCGUAAAGCGCGCGUAGGUGGUUUUGUAAGUUGGAGGUGAAAUCCCCGGGCUCAACCUGGGAACUGCAUACAAAACUGGCGAGCUAGAGUACGGUAGAGGGUGGUGGAAUUUCCUGUGUAGCGGUGAAAUGCGUAGAUAUAGGAAGGAACACCAGUGGCGAAGGCGACCACCUGGACUGAUACUGACACUGAGGUGCGAAAGCGUGGGGAGCAAACAGGAUUAGAUACCCCAGUAGUCC
This 450-nucleotide ribosomal RNA is filed under the name uncultured bacterium. RNAcentral's name for it is "partial 16S ribosomal RNA". It matches the Rfam family "Bacterial small subunit ribosomal RNA", at positions 354 to 796 of the family's 1533-position model. The record is from RNAcentral.